Vidua chalybeata is the source of this 394-nucleotide long non-coding RNA. RefSeq lists it as uncharacterized. NCBI's taxonomy places the organism in Eukaryota, Metazoa, Chordata, Aves, Passeriformes, Viduidae. The record is from RefSeq and is a predicted model, not a curated record. The transcript has 5 exons.
CUCAGUAACAGCCCUUUGGAUAUAUACUCUGGAAAACUUCCAGCUGGGUUCCUGCUAGUAAUACAAAAUCAUCUUACAAAUUAAGGAUCUGGCAACUGAAACCUCAAAUUUCUGAAACUGUAACCCACUUCCAAAUGAUGACCGAUACUAAAUACAAGACUGAAAUAUUAAAGACAGAUCAUCAUGAUCUUGAUUAUUUAGAAGGGGUAAAAGUGCCAGAAAAACGUCAAGCCUGGAUAUGAAGAAAGCAGACUUUGGGCUGCUCAGGGAACUAGUGCCAGAAAAUAGCUUUUAGAAGAUUUGCUCCAUCACCUUCCCAGGGGCAGAGGUGAAGUUUAUUGGCACAUAGUGGAAACUUUCUGCUUUGGAUAUAUGUUGCUUUGCAAGAUGGCAG